UACGUAGGUGGCAAGCGUUGUCCGGAAUUAUUGGGCGUAAAGCGCGCGCAGGUGGUUCCUUAAGUCUGAUGUGAAAGCCCCCGGCUCAACCGGGGAGGGCAUUGGAAACUGGGGAACUUGAGUGCAGAAGAGGGAAGUGGAAUUCCAUGUGUAGCGGUGAAAUGCGUAGAGAUAUGGAGGAACACCAGUGGCGAAGGCGGCUUCCUGGUCUGUAACUGACACUGAGGCGCGAAAGCGUGGGGAGCAAACAGGAUUAGAUACCCUGGUAGU
This 270-nucleotide ribosomal RNA is filed under the name uncultured prokaryote. Its description in RNAcentral is "partial 16S ribosomal RNA". It matches the Rfam family "Bacterial small subunit ribosomal RNA", at positions 524 to 794 of the family's 1533-position model. The record is from RNAcentral.